AGAACCUUCUCCAAACUUCAAAGCCCACAACCAGAUCAGCACCGAUGAAACCAGUCCUGACGAUCCAACUCCGCUACCUCAACAACCGAUGAGGGUGCCUCUUAAACCCAGUAGCAAGGUAACUUCUGAUUCCGGCCCACCAUCGCCAGCUCAUACGCCGCUUUAUUUGCCUCCCUGGGGACAAAAUUGUAAGUAACCUCUUCAAGAGCUCCAGCCAAAACCCGAAUAUGCUAAGAAAUAGGACUGAGAAUAGAUCUAUCAGUAAUAUUUGAAUUUAAUUUCUUGAUAAAAGUUAGCGAAUCACCCUCCAGGACAACCUUCCUAAAACCCAUAUCCAAAGCAAAAUAGAGAGCCCUCUCACAAGCUCUUGCCUCAGCCACAAAAGCAUCUACAACAUCCACCAACGGGUACGUACUCGCUCCCAUAAUCAGGCCCUCAGAAUCCCUAGCUAACACAGCUGAAAUAGAGAAAUUAGUAUUUUUCGCAAAAGAGGCGUCAAAAUUUAGCUUAAUAAUCCCAGGAUUAGGAGGUCUCCACAGAACAUUCCUUCUCAUACCAGCAGUCAAAUCUUUAUUUUGAACAAAACUUAAGUCUUGACCAUAGCUCUGAAUAAAACCUACUAUUUCAUGGAGCUCAAAAUGUAAGCCUUUAUUAACUAGCUUAUUUCUCUUAUACCAGAGAGCCCACAAAGAGAUAGCACUGAGUUUCUUAGAAUUCAUAUCCAUUGCUAGAAAAGCACUGACAAAAUUUGUUUUUCCAUCCGAGGUAAAAACACCAAAGUCCAGAGAGAGUUGCAAAAGAAACCAAAGCUGCCGCAAGACGCUACAGUACCAUAAAAUGUGGUGGGAGUCCUCCGGCUCUGACUUGCACAGAGGACACACCAAAUCAGCCCACAAUCUCCUUUGCACCAAGUUC
RNAcentral lists this long non-coding RNA (915 nucleotides) under Gossypium raimondii (Peruvian cotton). Its description in RNAcentral is "long non-coding RNA (GRAI_LNC007605)". Lineage: Eukaryota; Viridiplantae; Streptophyta; Magnoliopsida; Malvales; Malvaceae. The record is from RNAcentral.